This 253-nucleotide ribosomal RNA is filed under the name uncultured bacterium. RNAcentral's name for it is "partial 16S ribosomal RNA". It matches the Rfam family "Bacterial small subunit ribosomal RNA", at positions 524 to 776 of the family's 1533-position model. The record is from RNAcentral.
UACGGAGGGUGCAAGCGUUAUCCGGAUUCACUGGGUUUAAAGGGUGCGUAGGCGGCCAGGUAAGUCAGUGGUGAAAUCUCUGGGCUUAACCCAGAAACUGCCGUUGAUACUAUCUGUCUUGAAUAUCAUGGAGGUAAGCGGAAUAUGUCAUGUAGCGGUGAAAUGCUUAGAUAUGACAUAGAACACCGAUAGCGAAGGCAGCUUACUACAUGGAGAUUGACGCUGAGGCACGAAAGCGUGGGGAGCAAACAGG